This 520-nucleotide ribosomal RNA is filed under the name uncultured archaeon. Its description in RNAcentral is "partial 16S ribosomal RNA". It matches the Rfam family "Archaeal small subunit ribosomal RNA", at positions 354 to 875 of the family's 1478-position model. The record is from RNAcentral.
AAGGCCCCCCUGUGCAAAGGGGUACCCCCGAAGGGCCCCCGGAAAAAGGGGGCUUUUCGGUGGUCUAAAAAGCCAAGGGAAUAAAAGGGGGGCAAGAUUGGUGUCAGCCGCCGCGGUAACACCAGCCCCUCGAGUGGUGGGGAUGAUUAUUUGGCCUAAAGCGUCCGUAGCCGGCCUUGUAAGUCUCCCGUUAAAUCCAGCGUCUCAAGCGUUGGACUGCGGGAGAUACUGCUCGGCUAGAGAGUGGGAGAGGUGUGCGGUAUUCUGGGGGUAGGGGCGAAAUCCUUUGAUCCCCGGAGGACCACCAGUGGCGAAGGCUGCACACUAGAACACGUCUGACGGUCAGGGACGAAAGCUGGGGUAGCGAACCGGAUUAGAUACCCGGGUAGUCCCAGCUGUAAACGAUGCAUGCUAGGUGUUGGGUCGGCCAUGAGCCGCCUCAGUGCCGCAGGGAAGCCGUUAAGCAUGCCGCCUGGGGAGUACGGCCGCAAGGCUGAAACUUAAAGGAAUUGGCGGGGGA